Molecule: unclassified non-coding RNA, 380 nt
Filed under: soil metagenome
Description: partial contains 5.8S ribosomal RNA, internal transcribed spacer 2, and large subunit ribosomal RNA
Rfam family: 5.8S ribosomal RNA (bases 1-120)
Source: RNAcentral
GAUGAAGAACGUAGCGAAAUGCGAUAAGUAAUGUGAAUUGCAGAAUUCAGUGAAUCAUCGAAUCUUUGAACGCACCUUGCACCCUUUGGCAUUCUGAAGGGUAUGCUCGUUUGAGUGUCAUUGUACUCUCACACUCCCGAUCUUUGCAUUGGGAGCAGUGGACUUGGGUUUGCUGCUUCACCGUCGCUUACCUCAAAUAGGUUAGUGCAACUCUUGGUUGGACAUAGUACGGCGUGAUAAGUGUUCUUCGCCGGUGCCUCGCAAAGAGGGUGGCCGAUCGGGAUGUUGUGCUCCAAACCGUCUUCGGACAAUCUCUGACGACUUGACCUCAAAUCGUGUAAGACUACCCGCUGAACUUAAGCAUAUCAAUAAGCGGAGGA